GCCCUUAUAGCUCAGUUGGUAGAGCGGCUGAUUUGUAAUCAGUAGGUCGGGAGUUCGAGUCUCUCUGGGGGCA
Molecule: non-coding RNA, 73 nt
Organism: Sinorhizobium fredii GR64
Lineage: Bacteria; Pseudomonadati; Pseudomonadota; Alphaproteobacteria; Hyphomicrobiales; Rhizobiaceae
Source: Rfam